Molecule: ribosomal RNA, 253 nt
Filed under: uncultured bacterium
Lineage: Bacteria
Description: partial 16S ribosomal RNA
Rfam family: Bacterial small subunit ribosomal RNA
Source: RNAcentral
UACGUAGGGGGCUAGCGUUGUCCGGAAUCAUUGGGCGUAAAGCGCGUGUAGGCGGUCCGGUAAGUCCGCUGUGAAAGUCGGGGGCUCAACCCUCGGAUGCCGGUGGAUACUGUCGGGCUAGAGUCCGGAAGAGGCGAGUGGAAUUCCUGGUGUAGCGGUGAAAUGCGCAGAUAUCAGGAGGAACACCGAUGGCGAAGGCAGCUCGCUGGGACGGUACUGACGCUGAGGCGCGAAAGCGUGGGGAGCAAACAGG